RNAcentral lists this antisense RNA (75 nucleotides) under Micromonospora carbonacea. Its description in RNAcentral is "ASpks TB sRNA". It matches the Rfam family "ASpks TB sRNA". Lineage: Bacteria; Bacillati; Actinomycetota; Actinomycetes; Micromonosporales; Micromonosporaceae. The record is from Rfam by way of RNAcentral.
CUUGAUCGACCCGAGCAGCAGCGGCCGGUCGCCGGGACGGUCACGCCCGUAGGUCGCGAGGAGCGCCUGCGCCUC